GUCCUAAUCUUCUAGUGGUAAGAAGAUAACUUUUCACGUUAUAAACACAAGUUCAAUUCUUGUUUAGGGCA
Molecule: transfer RNA, 71 nt
Filed under: Capsaspora owczarzaki
Lineage: Eukaryota; Filasterea; Ministeriida; Capsasporidae
Description: tRNA-Glu
Rfam family: tRNA
About the family: Transfer RNA (tRNA) molecules are approximately 80 nucleotides in length.
Source: RNAcentral